This 489-nucleotide ribosomal RNA is filed under the name fungal sp. Y185. Its description in RNAcentral is "eukaryotic LSU rRNA". The stretch from base 126 to 279 matches the Rfam family "5.8S ribosomal RNA". Lineage: Eukaryota; Fungi. The record is from RNAcentral.
UGUGACAUACCUAAAACGUUGCUUCGGCGGGAACAGACGGCCCUGUAACAACGGGCCGCCCCCGCCAGAGGACCCCUAACUCUGUUUUUAUAAUGUUUUUCUGAGUAAACAAGCAAAUAAAUUAAAACUUUCAACAACGGAUCUCUUGGCUCUGGCAUCGAUGAAGAACGCAGCGAAAUGCGAUAAGUAAUGUGAAUUGCAGAAUUCAGUGAAUCAUCGAAUCUUUGAACGCACAUUGCGCCCGCCAGUAUUCUGGCGGGCAUGCCUGUUCGAGCGUCAUUACAACCCUCAGGCCCCCGGGCCUGGCGUUGGGGAUCGGCGGAAGCCCCCUGUGGGCACACGCCGUCCCUCAAAUACAGUGGCGGUCCCGCCGCAGCUUCCAUUGCGUAGUAGCUAACACCUCGCAACUGGAGAGCGGCGCGGCCAUGCCGUAAAACACCCAACUUCUGAAUGUUGACCUCGAAUCAGGUAGGAAUACCCGCUGAACUU